UAGGUGGCAAGCGUUGUCCGGAUUUACUGGGUGUAAAGGGCGUGUAGCCGGGAAGGCAAGUCAGAUGUGAAAUCUGGAGGCUCAACCUCCAAACUGCAUUUGAAACUGCUUUUCUUGAGUAUCGGAGAGGUAAUCGGAAUUCCUUGUGUAGCGGUGAAAUGCGUAGAUAUAAGGAAGAACACCAGUGGCGAAGGCGGAUUACUGGACGACAACUGACGGUGAGGCGCGAAAGCGUGGGGAGCAAACAGGA
RNAcentral lists this ribosomal RNA (250 nucleotides) under uncultured bacterium. RNAcentral describes it as "partial 16S ribosomal RNA". It matches the Rfam family "Bacterial small subunit ribosomal RNA", at positions 528 to 777 of the family's 1533-position model. The record is from RNAcentral.